Apis laboriosa (Himalayan honeybee) is the source of this 2126-nucleotide long non-coding RNA. RefSeq lists it as uncharacterized. Lineage: Eukaryota; Metazoa; Arthropoda; Insecta; Hymenoptera; Apidae. The record is from RefSeq and is a predicted model, not a curated record. The transcript has 3 exons.
CUGAAUAAAUUUUGUAAUACGUAUUUCAUAAAUUUUUAAGAAUUAUUGAUUUCAUAAUUCAAUUUGCAAAUAAAAUUCGAUCGAUGUUACUAAUAUUAAUAAUCUUAAUGGAGGGAAACGAAAAGUCUAGGUUAUGUUUAGCGAAAGAUAAAGAUCGAUGAUGUAUAAUAAGAUAUAUUGAACACGAACUACGAAUUAUUGUAGCAUGAAUUUAUUAAAUAUGCGUUUAAGAUCGUGAUAUGAGACGAGUUUUCGUUUUGAGGUUAUGUAUAUACUUAUGACUUAAUAUUACAACAUUAUGACAGGAAGAUAUCUAUAUUAUAUUAAAAUGUUAACAUAUAAUGAUAUAUAAUACAUGAAAUAUUUAUAAUAUAUCGUGACUACGAACGAUUAUUCAAAAAAUUUUUUAAAUUAUUUUAUUUUUAAUCUUAACAAUUUUUUUUUAGUGAUAAAAUUCUAUAUAUUUGAAGAAAUAAUAUCAAAUAUGCAAAAUAACGAAGAUAGAGUUUGGUUUUAACAUACUUGACAAAUUGUGACAAAUAUUUUGAUUGGAAAUUGUAAAAAUUUUAUUUUUAACUGUUUUUAAUUAUCAUUUUUAAUAGAUCCAAAAGGAUGUUGAAUCACGUGAAGAAUCUUGUUAGAAGUUGUGAAACGAUUACUAUUAUGGAAAGAUUUUAUAAUAUUUUCUCUAAAUAGCCUUGCUAAACAUCCUUUGUUUUUGAUUCAAUCGUUCAUGUCUAUUAUUAAAAAAUUCACAAGUUUAUUUACGACGCAAAAAUUUUACAAAUAUUUUCCGAAAAAAGAAAAAUUAAACAAUUGUACAAAAACGAAUAUAAUAAUUUUUUAAAUAAUUUGCAGCAUCUCGAAAAUCUGUUUAAUAAAAUUAAAUCGCAAGAAAAUAAGAAAAGAAAUCACAAAAGAUCAAGGAAAUUCCAUUCUUAUUGUCCAUCAUCCAGAAAAUGAAUUUCAACUUUAUCCCAUUCGAUUCAUAAUAAAAUUGGAGCAAUCAUAAAAGGAAGAGAAUAAAAUAAAAAAGGGAAAAAAAAGAAUUUUUAAAAUAGAAAGAAAAAGAAUAUCACGGUCUGCCUCUGGCUGGUAGAAAAUGGAAGAUCUGCGAAAUAAUCCAUUGCACAGAUGGUCGAGAGAAGUGAAAGGAAGACGUUCAGGGAUGGAAUGGAAAAUAGACGGAAUGAAAUAUUUCUUUACGAUGGAGAAAUGGAUUAAUGGCCUGUUCCUGCGUGUCUCGAAUGAAAGUGGAGAUUAGAAUUUUUUUCUUUCUUUUUAUUUAUUUAUUUUUUUUUUGUUUUUUGUUAAGGCUAUAAGAGGAGACAGGAUGAGCCUCGAAUCUUGUAUCCACGAGAUGAUGAGAUUGAAAUGGUGUACAUAAAAACAAAAAAGAUUGGUCAUCGAAAAGGUUGUUAGUUUGAUGUAAAAGUGAAUGGCUGUUUAUGAUCAACUAUUACGAUUUGUAAUAUAUUAUAAAAGCUAUAAACAAUACUAUAAAACUCUCAAGUAAAAAUACGAUUUUAUAAGGCAUAGGAGAAGAUAGGAUUUUAAGCUUUGAUUUGUAUCCACGAUGGGAUUGAAAUGAAAUUCCAUAAAGAAGGAAAUUAUCCUUUAUUGACAGAAAAUCGUGCGAGUAAAUAUUGGCCAUCAAAAGAUUAAUUCGAUGUAUGAAAAUGAUAAGAUAAUUUUUGAUAGAAUAUUGGAAUAGAAAAAUUCCAGAUUAUUGGAAUUGAAUAAUCGUUAAGUUCUUAUCGAUGCAAUUUGUAAUGUGCACAAAAGCUGUAAAUAAAUUGGCGCGAUUAAUAUUCGAAAAUUUUUUGAAAAGAAUGAAUUGCUUGCGAAGUAAUGAACGAAAGAAACAGCGAAUGAAUCUUCCUUAGUUCCAAUUAAGAUUGCAAGCGGAAAGGAGAAUCGUUUUAAUUGCAUACGAUCGAGUUGAUUAAGCUUUCACGAUAAUUAUGUGCCAAGAUAAUCCUUGACGAUAAUUUUUAGUACGCUUUUGUCUUCAUCAUCAAGUUAAAACAAAGUUGAAAUUGUGCGAAAUAAGGACAAACCAAAAGAAGAAGGUCGAAACUUAUAUAUUUUUAACAAAAGAAUAGAAAGUGUGUCUACAGAAAGAA